GAGGGUGUAGCUUAGUGGUAGAGCGUGUGCUUGGCAGGUGCACGAGGUCCUGGGUUCAAUCCUCAGUUCCUCCA
Molecule: transfer RNA, 74 nt
Filed under: Camelus bactrianus (Bactrian camel)
Lineage: Eukaryota; Metazoa; Chordata; Mammalia; Artiodactyla; Camelidae
Also listed under: 1 other name
Rfam family: tRNA
About the family: Transfer RNA (tRNA) molecules are approximately 80 nucleotides in length. Their secondary structure includes four short double-helical elements and three loops (D, anti-codon, and T loops). Further hydrogen bonds mediate the characteristic L-shaped molecular structure. tRNAs have two regions of fundamental functional importance: the anti-codon, which is responsible for specific mRNA codon recognition, and the 3' end, to which the tRNAs corresponding amino acid is attached (by aminoacyl-tRNA synthetases). tRNAs cope with the degeneracy of the genetic code in two manners: having more than one tRNA (with a specific anti-codon) for a particular amino acid; and 'wobble' base-pairing, i.e. permitting non-standard base-pairing at the 3rd anti-codon position.
Source: Rfam by way of RNAcentral